Molecule: ribosomal RNA, 253 nt
Filed under: uncultured bacterium
Lineage: Bacteria
Description: partial 16S ribosomal RNA
Rfam family: Bacterial small subunit ribosomal RNA
Source: RNAcentral
UACGUAGGGACCGAGCGUUGUCCGGAUUCAUUGGGCGUAAAGAGCUCGUAGGCGGCUGUUCAAGUCGAACGUGAAAACUCGGAGCUCAACUCCGAGCCUGCGUUCGAGACUGGAUGGCUAGAGUCUGGUAGGGGGAUCUGGAAUUCCUGGUGUAGCGGUGGAAUGCGCAGAUAUCAGGAGGAACACCGGUGGCGAAGGCGGGUCUCUGGGCAGUAACUGACGCUGAGGAGCGAAAGCGUGGGGAGCGAACAGG